Molecule: long non-coding RNA, 1002 nt
Organism: Ostrea edulis (European flat oyster)
Lineage: Eukaryota; Metazoa; Mollusca; Bivalvia; Ostreida; Ostreidae
Exons: 2
Source: RefSeq, a predicted model, not a curated record
AUCUUUUUUGCGCAAGAGUUAGCCUAUUUUAAGUACAACUUAACAGAUGAAAUACAGGGGCAAUUAACUCAUUGUAUAGGGGCAGGUAACUCGUGGUCGCCGCCCUGCAAGCGGUACCAAAUAGCGUUAACCGAAGGUAACUCGUGGUCGCCGCCCUGCAAGCGGUACCAAAUAGGAAUUACGGACGUUUCGGGAGCCCGACGUUUCGGGACCCGGAUGUUUCGGGACUAGACAACACGUUUCGGGACUUCGAUUAACAUGUUUCGGGACUUCAGAAACUGUAUCCAUGCACUCUGUGGUAUAUGAAAGUUGUAUGAAACGUCAUUUUCAUUAGCCGGGUCAUUUGAUUGUCAGCACGUCGCCGGGUAUACCCAGUUCGAGUCGGCCGGAUUUUUCAGAAUCAAGUAUGCUAAUUAUAAUAUUAAAUUUUGUAUAAUAUUCAAAAUCUUACUGUAGAUUCAUCCUCCUGUUCAUCUUCAUCAUCGGGUUCAGCAACUGAUGAACCAAGGGAGGCUAUUGACACGUGAAAUGUGGCAUCAGCUGCAGCUACAAACUGAAAGAAUAUAAUAUAUUUUUAUAGAAGUGUCUAACAGGGAUUCAUCUACUGAGUGUUCCUGACAUGAAGAAUUAAUUUAUCCAUUUUAAAACCUUAAUUGUCCUAUGUGGAAGCAAAUGUCAAGGAUAUUUCGUUACUAAUUUCCAAUUAUAUGUUCUUAAUUAUUUCAAGAUGUUUAAUACAAAUGUUCUUAAUGUUAUUGCAUUCAUGUAAAUAUAACGUAUACCAGUACCUCUUCUGUAUCAGUAGGAUUUUCCAAGCACCGGGCGCAAACCCACUGGAGGUCUUCUUGCAGUUUCCCUAUUCGUCUAUACUGGUCACGGCUGAUUCCUGUCAUAUUAUUAAAAUUUGUGUUCCAUUACAUUGUUCAUUUGAUGGAAUUUUUUAAUCAUUACUAUACAACUGCUUUCCAUUCUUAUUUUUCAUUAAGUAAAAGAAUAAAAUCA